CAGCCGCCACGGGAAUACGGAGGGAGCUAGCGUUGUUCGGAAUUACUGGGCGUAAAGCGCGCGUAGGCGGCUUUGUAAGUUAGAGGUGAAAGCCUGGGGCUCAACUCCAGAAUUGCCUUUAAGACUGCAUCGCUUGAAUCAUGGAGAGGCGGGUGGAAUUCCGAGUGUAGAGGUGAAAUUCGUAGAUAUUAGGAAGAACACCAGUGGCGAAGGCGGCCCGCUGGACAUGUAUUGACGCUGAGGUGCGAAAGCGUGGGGAGCAAACAGGAUUAGAUACCCGCGUAGUCCCUGUCUCUUAUAA
This 301-nucleotide ribosomal RNA is filed under the name uncultured bacterium. RNAcentral describes it as "partial 16S ribosomal RNA". It matches the Rfam family "Bacterial small subunit ribosomal RNA", at positions 509 to 809 of the family's 1533-position model. The record is from RNAcentral.